RNAcentral lists this ribosomal RNA (428 nucleotides) under uncultured bacterium. Its description in RNAcentral is "bacterial SSU rRNA". It matches the Rfam family "Bacterial small subunit ribosomal RNA", at positions 355 to 775 of the family's 1533-position model. The record is from RNAcentral.
UGGGGAAUUUUGGACAAUGGGCGAAAGCCUGAUCCAGCAAUGCCGCGUGUGUGAAGAAGGCCUUCGGGUUGUAGAGCACUUUUGUCCGGAAAGAAAUCCGCCUGGCUAAUACCCGGGCGGGAUGACGGUACCGGAAGAAUAAGCACCGGCUAACUACGUGCCAGCAGCCGCGGUAAUACGUAGGGUGCGAGCGUUAAUCGGAAUUACUGGGCGUAAAGCGUGCGCAGGCGGUUAUGCAAGACAGGUGUGAAAUCCCCGGGCUCAACCUGGGAACUGCACUUGUGACUGCAUGACUAGAGUGCGUCAGAGGGAGGUGGAAUUCCGCGUGUAGCAGUGAAAUGCGUAGAGAUGCGGAGGAACACCGAUGGCGAAGGCAGCCUCCUGGGAUGACACUGACGCUCAUGCACGAAAGCGUGGGGAGCAAACAG